UCGGGAAUUUUGGGCAAUGGGCGAAAGCCUGACCCAGCAACGCCGCGUGAAGGAUGAAGUAUUUCGGUAUGUAAACUUCGAAAGAAUAGGAAGAAUAAAUGACGGUACUAUUUAUAAGGUCCGGCUAACUACGUGCCAGCAGCCGCGGUAAUACGUAGGGACCAAGCGUUGUUCGGAUUUACUGGGCGUAAAGGGCGCGUAGGCGGCAAUUCAAGUCAUCUGUGAAAUCUCCGGGCUUAACUCGGAACGGUCAGAUGAUACUGCUUUGCUAGAGUGCAGAAGGGGCAAUCGGAAUUCUUGGUAUAGCGGUGAAAUGCGUAGAUAUCAAGAGGAACACCUGAGGUGAAGACGGGUUGCUGGGCUGACACUGACGCUGAGGCGCGAAAGCCAGGGGAGCAAACGGGAUUAGAUACCCGGGUAGUCCCUGAGCGGGCUGGCAAGGCGCAU
RNAcentral lists this ribosomal RNA (447 nucleotides) under uncultured bacterium. RNAcentral describes it as "bacterial SSU rRNA". It matches the Rfam family "Bacterial small subunit ribosomal RNA", at positions 355 to 825 of the family's 1533-position model. The record is from RNAcentral.